RNAcentral lists this long non-coding RNA (1657 nucleotides) under Pan troglodytes (chimpanzee). Its description in RNAcentral is "long non-coding RNA NONPTRT009219". The record is from RNAcentral. Lineage: Eukaryota; Metazoa; Chordata; Mammalia; Primates; Hominidae.
GGCACCUGUAGUCCUAGCUACUUGGGAGGCUGAAGCAGGAGAAUGGCGUGAACCUGGGAGGCGGAGGUUGCAGUGAGCCGAGAUCACGCCACCGCACUCCAGCCUGGGCAACAGAGCAAGACUCCAUCUCAAAAAAAAAAAAAAAACCCAGGUCCCUUCAAGGUUUUUUUGGCCAUUUUCAACACAAGGUUUCUAACUCAGUCCAUGAUGACUGCUUCCCUUCCAGAUAUCAUAUCUGCAUUCUAGCCAGCAGAAAGAAAAAGAGCAUGCCUCCUCACCUUCAGAACCUGUCCUAGAAGUUACAUACACCAAUGCUGUUUAUUUCCCACUUAGUCAUAUAGCCACUUGUAGAAUUUUUUUUUUUUUUUUUUCUUUUUGGAGACAAGGUCUUGCUCUGUCACCCGUGCAGGGGUACAGUGGCAAGAUCAUGGCUCAUUGCAGCCUCAACCUCCUGGGCUCAAGCGAUCCUCUCACCUCAGCCUCCUGAGUAGCUGGGACUAUAGGCACAGGCUACCACACCCAGCUUAUUUUUUAAUUUUUUGUAGAGAAGGGGUUUCGCUAUGUUGCUUAGGAUGGUUUCAAACUCCUGGACUCAAGCAGUCCAUCCACCUCACCCUCCCAAUGUGCUGGGAUUACAGAUGUAAGCCACCGUGCCCAGGCAGAAUUUUCAAAGGGGCAAAUAUAGUCUUUAUUACAGGAAGGUGGGUGUAAAUGUUAAGGGUUCUGUUAUUGCAGAAGAGGAGACAGACACUGGAAAACAACUCAUUUAUAGCUUCUACAACCAUUCUUUGUCUUCUGUUCCUUUCAAUUAUAGCUCAUUUAUUUUCAUUACAUUGUGGGUUUUGGAGCAACUGAUUCUCCAAGGAAUUUCAUCUUUUAGGGAAAUCCCUUCUUUGAAUGAAAUAGUCUUCAGAAGUGUAAACAAAAUAUAUGAAAGCAGGGCUGCUUUGGUUGGCAGUUGGGAUGGUUGAGGGAGAGUCUUGCUCUUUUCACCACCUUUACUGGCUUCUCUCCUCUGUCCCUUCACCCCCUCCUAUGCCUAAGGACUGUUUUAACAACAGAGCUUGAAAAUAUAGCAGUUUCCCCAUUUACUUACCACUUUUAAUUUUCAAUUAUAUUAGAUUACUGAGUAGCUUAAAUUAGUUUUUAAGCUCAGUUUGUAGGUAUUUUUCUGCCAAAGAUAAUUUUCUGUAAGGGGUAACUUACUUUUUUUUUCCAUCUGGAAAUUUAAAGACAUAGUUUGGGCCAGGCGCAGUGACUCAUGCCUGUAAUCCCAGCACUUUGGGAGGCCGAGGCCAGCAGAUCACCUGAGCUCAGGAGUUCGAGACCACCCUGGGCAACAUGGUGAAACCCCAUCUCUACUCAAAUACAAAAAAAAAAAAAUUAGCCAGGCGUCGUGGCACUUGCCUGUAGUCCCAGCUACUCGGGAGGCUGAGACACGAGAAUCACUUGAACCCGGAGGUGGAGGUUGCAGUGAGCCAAGAUCAUGCCACUGCACUCCAACUUAGGCUACAGAGUGAGACUCCGUCUCAAAAAAAAAAAAAAAAUAGUUUGAAUAGAAUAGUCUGGUUUAGGAAUACCACAUCAGGGUUAUCAAGUCUUAAAAUAAAAAAACAGUCUUGCAGGAUCUAGGGCCAGGGAAUUGAACUGAAUUUAU